GUGCCUGACCGCGCUGCUCCCCCACCGGUGGGAGACUGGCUCAGCUCCCAGGGCAGUGGGUGAGGUGCAGGUGGCGCAGCACUCGGGCCAACCCGGCACAAAUGAACCUGACGCUCCUAGGGCCGGCCCUGCGUGUACCAGCUGCGCUGUCGGCCAGGUAUUCACCUCCCCCAGCAUGCAGUGGGAAGUGAGGUUGAGGCCGCGGUGGAGGCCGGGCGCGAGAGCAGGUGCUGCCCGGCCGUGCGAGGGUGGGGGUGGUGCAGUCGGCUGCCUCGGGGACGCGGGGUACAGGGGACCCACCGCCACCACUGCUGCUCUCACAGCUGCUCCUGCUGCCGCCUCUUGCGCCUCCCCACUGCAGCCCACAUGAUAGCAGCGGCCCCUCCGGAUGGCCUGCCGCUGCCAUCAGCAAGAACGUGAGCCAUGGUGAUGGAAGCCUCUUCCAAACCAAAGUGCUUAAUAAGUGCUCGUGAGGACCAUACAAUGUGGAAGGAACCUGGGUCCCUGAAAAUUCCCACAGAAGGCUACUGACCAAGAAAUCUUUCAAAAGACUAUGACAGGAGCAAAAACUACAUUUUUAUUGGGUUAAACUACAGAGAUUUCUGGGUGUAUCUGUUACAGCAACUGGUGUUAAUUAAACAGAGAAGAGCACCGUUCCAUUUUCUCUUUAAGGUUGGAGUAUUAAAUUGCCUCUAUUGUCUCUUUUACGGUAUUGAUAUUUUUUGAUUGAUUGAUCGACCAGGUUUCUUUACUAUCAAUUCUUCACCUUUAAUGGGC
RNAcentral lists this long non-coding RNA (777 nucleotides) under Homo sapiens (human). RNAcentral describes it as "HSALNT0306818". Lineage: Eukaryota; Metazoa; Chordata; Mammalia; Primates; Hominidae. The record is from RNAcentral.